This is a long non-coding RNA of Myripristis murdjan (pinecone soldierfish), 281 nucleotides long. RefSeq lists it as uncharacterized. The record is from RefSeq and is a predicted model, not a curated record. NCBI's taxonomy places the organism in Eukaryota, Metazoa, Chordata, Actinopteri, Holocentriformes, Holocentridae. The transcript has 2 exons.
UUCCAAGUUUCUUAGUUUCUUAAUGGUGAACACAUUCACUAAGCACAGCUACCAGAAACUACAAACAGUCCAGUUUGUCAAAUGUACACAUGGGAGAGAGAGAGGAGACAACGGGUACUGGUGUCAGUAUGUUCAGACCAGUACCACAACAGCUGGGAUGAUGACAUCUUUUGACCAGUUUUUAACGAUUUAAAAUGGCGCGAUCAAUGCUAGUGCUGACAAGAACGAUGGUAAUUUAUAAUGUCUACCUGUUAUUGUACAACCAGCUCUCCCAAAUGUAA